GUGCUCGCUUCGGCAGCACAUAUACUAAAAUUGGAAUGAUACAGAGAAGAUUAGCAUAAAGCUUAUCAACAACGAGAAGCGUGUAAUACAGGAGUUCAAGAAAUUU
Ochotona curzoniae (black-lipped pika) is the source of this 106-nucleotide small nuclear RNA. The record is from RefSeq and is a predicted model, not a curated record. Lineage: Eukaryota; Metazoa; Chordata; Mammalia; Lagomorpha; Ochotonidae.